Long non-coding RNA from Lolium perenne, 363 nucleotides. RefSeq lists it as uncharacterized. The record is from RefSeq and is a predicted model, not a curated record. NCBI's taxonomy places the organism in Eukaryota, Viridiplantae, Streptophyta, Magnoliopsida, Poales, Poaceae.
GCCACAGGGGACGAAUCUAUGUGGAUACUAUGUUUGCGAGUCCAUUCGCAUGUUAACCACUGAGAAGCACAACGAUAAUAGAUUCAACGUCGACUUCAUGCGGGAGAAGCUCCAACCACACGAGCACAUACUAGGAAUUACGGAGGAAUUGGCGGGACUUCUAAUGAAAGAAGUAAUAGACGACAACGGCUUGUUUAGUCCAAAUAGGCGCAACAAAUGAUCCCCAUGUAUUAGUUCGAAUAGACGACGGGCUUUAGUCCCGGUGGUAGUGACCUCCAUGUAUAUGUGUAAGGGGAAUCUACGAAGUUUUGCUCCCAAUAUUUGUUUGCUCGAUCUAUAUAUAAUGAAUGAACGUGUACAACU